AUGUCGUGAUGAGGACAUUUCCUAAGAAAAUCGUUCAACCAUUCCCAUACGUCGUGAAAUAUUUCCCUAUCCCCUUGUGAGAAUUCACAAAUUGAAGUUCUCAUUGC
Molecule: small nucleolar RNA, 107 nt
Organism: Cornus florida
Lineage: Eukaryota; Viridiplantae; Streptophyta; Magnoliopsida; Cornales; Cornaceae
Source: RefSeq, a predicted model, not a curated record